GUUAAACACUACAAGGUUAAAUGACACAAAUUUUAAAAAUCACUCUGACUUGGCUUAGUUUCAGGCAACAAGUGCUGCAAGAGAGAAGCUCUAAUAGGCAGGUCGGGCAUGUUGUAUCUAGCAGGCUGGCGUCUUUACAGCAGCACCCUCAGGAUCCUGGUUGGGUCGUCAGGGAGGUUCAGCUCACCUAGACUGACUAACUGGCUGCUCUGUAUUGGUUGCCCUCUCUCCCUUUGCUUUUCUUGUGUUUAUUUG
Molecule: long non-coding RNA, 255 nt
Organism: Thunnus maccoyii (southern bluefin tuna)
Lineage: Eukaryota; Metazoa; Chordata; Actinopteri; Scombriformes; Scombridae
Exons: 3
Source: RefSeq, a predicted model, not a curated record